This is a non-coding RNA of Mycena leptocephala, 92 nucleotides long. The record is from the annotation of a GenBank genome assembly. NCBI's taxonomy places the organism in Eukaryota, Fungi, Basidiomycota, Agaricomycetes, Agaricales, Mycenaceae.
UCGGAUGUGGUGCAUGGCGCACACCCGCUCACGCUGCUUGGGGGAAAGUGUGAAUUGUGCGGGAGGGCUGGGUUCGAUUCCUAGCGUCCGAA